CCUACGGGAGGCAGUAGUAGGGAAUAUUGCGCAAUGGGGGAAACCCUGAAGCAGCAACGCCGCGUGGAGGAUGAAGGUUUUCGGAUUGUAAACUCCUUUUGUUAGAGAAGAUAAUGACGGUAUCUAACGAAUAAGCACCGGAUAACUCCGUGCCAGCAGCCGCGGUAAUACGGAGGGUGCAAGCGUUACUCGGAAUCACUGGGCGUAAAGAGCGCGUAGGCGGGUUAGCAAGUCAGAUGUGAAAUCCUAUGGCUUAACCAUAGAACUGCAUUUGAAACUGUUAUUCUAGAGUAUGGGAGAGGUAGGUGGAAUUCUUGGUGUAGGGGUAAAAUGCGUAGAGAUCAAGAGGAAUACUCAUUGCGAAGGCGACCUGCUAGAACAUAACUGACGCUGAUGCGCGAAAGCGUGGGGAGCAAACAGGAUUAGAUACCCCAGUAGUC
RNAcentral lists this ribosomal RNA (440 nucleotides) under uncultured bacterium. RNAcentral's name for it is "partial 16S ribosomal RNA". It matches the Rfam family "Bacterial small subunit ribosomal RNA", at positions 338 to 795 of the family's 1533-position model. The record is from RNAcentral.